UACGUAGGGUGCGAGCGUUAAUCGGAAUUACUGGGCGUAAAGCGUGCGCAGGCGGCGCGUUAAGACAGGUGUGAAAGCCCCGAGCUUAACUUGGGAAUUGCGCUUGUGACUGGCGUGCUGGAGUGUGGCAGAGGGAGGUGGAAUUCCACGUGUAGCAGUGAAAUGCGUAGAGAUGUGGAGGAACACCGAUGGCGAAGGCAGCCUCCUGGGCCAGCACUGACGCUCAGGCACGAAAGCGUGGGAAGCAAACAGG
Molecule: ribosomal RNA, 253 nt
Filed under: uncultured bacterium
Lineage: Bacteria
Description: partial 16S ribosomal RNA
Rfam family: Bacterial small subunit ribosomal RNA
Source: RNAcentral